Long non-coding RNA from Calidris pugnax (ruff), 1442 nucleotides. RefSeq lists it as uncharacterized. The record is from RefSeq and is a predicted model, not a curated record. The transcript has 2 exons. Lineage: Eukaryota; Metazoa; Chordata; Aves; Charadriiformes; Scolopacidae.
UUCAGCUCUAACUGGUGGUGCUUAAAUACUUAAUCCCAUCAAGACAGUGUCUGUCUAAUGAGACUUUAGCACGUGCGAGAUGGGAGUUGGUUGUGGCUACGGCAGGUUUGGAAGAUUUUUCAGAAAUUGUACAUAGAAAGAUACAGCUGUUUUAUGUUUCAUUUUCCACUUCGGUGUCACGUGUGCCAGGCAACAGCGCAGCCCUUAGUGCAGUGAGCAGGCAGGUCCAAAAGGACAGUGGCUGUGUACUUUUCCAGGUUAAACACUGGGAUUGUGGCUCUGUGUACAGUCUGAGGCACAGCUGCUGCAUUUGAAUCUCUUAAAUCUACUUUGUUUUGUUCAAUAUCUCUAAACCUGCUCAGUUUAGCUCAUGCCGUUGCUGCAUUUCACCUGUUAAAAAGCAGCCCAUCAAUUUGGGUUGCUUCUCUGUAAUAAAGCACAGGAACAGCCAGUGUAUUUUGCCUUCCUGCUGCCACUGCCGUAAGAAGGUGAACUGGUUUAUACGGGGAAGACUUGGAAUUUACACAAAACUGUUUCUGAAGUUGUCAUCAACACAGUUGGUUCCGUCUACAAAAGUUUGAUUAACUUCUAGUUGAUAUAUAGUAGACUUUUAACAGCUUAGUAGUUUGCCUUCAUGUAUUUUAAGUGUUUAAUAACCUUCCCAAAUUUUUUUAAGCUCUAUUUUGAAGAUGAAGAAAGAGCAGAAAUGUACAAGCUGAACCCAGAACACACGUUGCUACAAGUGCUGCAGCACCAAAGGUAUUUUGUAAAGGCCGGGACUCCAACAGUUUUGGCGUUUGUAAAGCGUUCUCCUUUCUCCAAGAAGUACUUCUCUGGCAAGAAGGUGCAUCGACUGUAACGAGCGGGAACGAAACUGUGGGGGAUCCUGUGUGAGAGGCUGGUGUUUGUUACCCCAGCUGCAGACCACGAGCUUCUCCCUCAACAAAAACACCUUGCACGCUUCAGGGGGGAAGCGUAAUCUUGGCACGCAGGGAAACUUCCAGGGAAGCAGCACACGGGAGAGCGAAGGGCUUACAAGAGGGGAUUGUUUGUUUAAAAAGAAACCCAGCUGGUUUGCAGAAGGUCUCCCCUGCCAUAGGCUGCCUGUGGUUUGGAAAUCAACCUGAAGCUGUGCCAAAGGCUGGCUGCAGCUGAAGCAGCAGCUGGGAAAGCACUUACCUACCUGUGGAAAAUGGCCGGUUUCCUUGGAGGAGGGCUGUAGUUUCUGGGGUUUAAGGGCAGUGCUCUGGGGCUGUACCUGCAGCGGGAUGGAUGCUGUUGGGUUCCUGCCUGCCACUUGAGCAGCUGAUGGUUUCUCACCACCCAGCUCUGCUGCUUGAGAGCUCAGGGCUCUUCCUGGGGAGUGCUGUGUUUUACCCACCCUUUUGCUACCUUACUGAUUGUCCCAUGGAACCUGGAAAUAAACGUGUCUAUUUUAAGUA